GGAAGUAAAAGCCGUAACAAGGUUUCCGUAGGUGAACCUGCGGAAGGAUCAUUAAUGAGUUGUCAUGGGGUUCGAUGCUGGCAGCCAAUUUUUGGAUGCAUGUGCUUGCCCUAACAAUCAUCUUCCAAACACCUGUGCACAUUUUUGAGGGAGUCUUGAGUUGGUUGCCGCUCUUGGGUGAUUUUCUCACAUUCCCUUAAAUCAUUAUACGCUGUUAACAAUGUUGAACGUGCUCUGUGCCGCAAGGCUAUUAAUAUAAUACAACUUUUAACAACGGAUCUCUUGGCUCUC
This 291-nucleotide unclassified non-coding RNA is filed under the name plant metagenome. RNAcentral describes it as "partial contains small subunit ribosomal RNA, internal transcribed spacer 1, and 5.8S ribosomal RNA". The stretch from base 1 to 54 matches the Rfam family "Eukaryotic small subunit ribosomal RNA", at positions 1778 to 1831 of the family's 1831-position model. The record is from RNAcentral.